This 499-nucleotide ribosomal RNA is filed under the name uncultured Glomeromycotina. RNAcentral describes it as "partial small subunit ribosomal RNA". It matches the Rfam family "Eukaryotic small subunit ribosomal RNA", at positions 591 to 1092 of the family's 1831-position model. Lineage: Eukaryota; Fungi; Glomeromycota. The record is from RNAcentral.
CCAAUAGCGUAUAUUAAAGUUGUUGCAGUUAAAAAGCUCGUAGUUGAAUUUCGGGGUCAGUAGGUCGGUCGUGCCACUGGUAUGAACUGGUCUCACUGAUUCCUCCCUCUUGUAGAACCGUGAUGCCAUUAAUUUGGUGUUGCGGGGAAACAGGACUGUUACUUUGAAAAAAUUAGAGUGUUUAAAGCAAGCUAACGCUUGAAUACAUUAGCAUGGAAUAAUGAAAUAGGACGUCGAUCUUAUUUUGUUGGUUUCUAGGGUUGACGUAAUGAUUAAUAGGGAUAGUUGGGGGCAUUAGUAUUCAAUUGUCAGAGGUGAAAUUCUUGGAUUUAUUGAAGACUAACUACUGCGAAAGCAUUUGCCAAGGAUGUUUUCAUUAAUCAAGAACGAAAGUUAGGGGAUCGAAGACGAUCAGAUACCGUCGUAGUCUUAACCAUAAACUAUGCCGACUAGGGAUCGGAUGAUGUUAAUUUUUUAAUGACUCAUUCGGCGCCUUACG